RNAcentral lists this ribosomal RNA (216 nucleotides) under Glomeromycotina sp. RNAcentral describes it as "partial small subunit ribosomal RNA". The stretch from base 40 to 216 matches the Rfam family "Eukaryotic small subunit ribosomal RNA", at positions 686 to 864 of the family's 1831-position model. The record is from RNAcentral. Lineage: Eukaryota; Fungi; Glomeromycota.
GGGUCAGUAGGUUGGUCGUGCCACCGGUACGUACUGGUCUCACUGAUUCCUCCUUCCUGAAGAACCGUAAUGCCAUUAAUUUGGUGUUGCGGGGAAACAGGACUGUUACUUUGAAAAGAUUAGAGUGUUUAAAGCAAGCUAACGCUUGAAUACAUUAGCAUAGAAUAAUGAAAUAGGACGAUCGAUCCUAUUUUGUUGGUUUCUAGGAUUGACGUA